Long non-coding RNA from Entelurus aequoreus (snake pipefish), 531 nucleotides. RefSeq lists it as uncharacterized. Lineage: Eukaryota; Metazoa; Chordata; Actinopteri; Syngnathiformes; Syngnathidae. The record is from RefSeq and is a predicted model, not a curated record. The transcript has 6 exons.
AUUAAUUAUUGUUUCUGUGCAGCCCGGUAGCAAACGCUUGGUUGGGGACCACUGAUGUACAGCAUUUACCUUGGAACUCGCAUGGCUGCAGUUUGUGUGUCCCCAAGAUGCAAGAACCAGGAGGAGGAUGUGCAGUUUCACAAAUUCCUCAAUAAACUCGCCAAGACGUCACCGUGGAGUUAUUGAGUCUGUUUAGCUGUUUAGCAGCUAGUGGGUCCAUGAUGACUUCUGCUUGAAAACAAUUAAGCAAAUUUUGUAGGUAUACACCGCAGUCCGUGGCGACUUGUCCAGGGUGUACCCCGCCUUCCGCCUGAAUGCAGCUAAGUCUCCCUCUCGCAACACCCCUCCCAAAAGUACAAGAAAUACUUCUCUUGGUCUUAUUGAUGUGUCUCUCCUCCCAUCUGCAGCUUAAACACACACAAAGCUAUAAUGGGUUUUGGGUGAUCCUUGGCUCUUCAUCGGAAGCACAAAGAGAGAAAAAGGACAAAGUUUAAUUGGGAAGAGGCUUUCAUUUUGGCGAUGACAGCAGAG